This 67-nucleotide transfer RNA is filed under the name Fischoederius cobboldi. Its description in RNAcentral is "tRNA-Phe". The record is from RNAcentral. Lineage: Eukaryota; Metazoa; Platyhelminthes; Trematoda; Plagiorchiida; Gastrothylacidae.
UUUCUCUCUAGCUUAUUAUAUAGAGUGUUAGUUUGAAGAGCUGAAGGUACAGUUGUGUGGGAGGAAG